Molecule: ribosomal RNA, 485 nt
Filed under: uncultured bacterium
Lineage: Bacteria
Description: bacterial SSU rRNA
Rfam family: Bacterial small subunit ribosomal RNA
Source: RNAcentral
AUUGAACGCUGGCGGCAGGCUUAACACAUGCAAGUCGAACGGAACCUUCGGGUUUAGUGGCGAACGGGUGAGUAAUACCUAGGAAUCUGCCUAUUAGUGGGGGAUAACGGCUCGAAAGGGUCGCUAAUACCGCAUACGUCCUACGGGAGAAAGAGGGGGAUCUUCGGACCUCUUGCUAAUAGAUGAGCCUAGGCCGGAUUAGCUAGUUGGUAGGGUAAAGGCCUACCAAGGCGACGAUCCGUAGCUGGUCUGAGAGGAUGAUCAGCCACACUGGAACUGAGACACGGUCCAGACUCCUACGGGAGGCAGCAGUGGGGAAUAUUGCGCAAUGGGCGAAAGCCUGACGCAGCCAUGCCGCGUGUGUGAAGAAGGCCCUUGGGUUGUAAAGCACUUUCAAUUGGAGGAAAGGUUAGCGUGUUAAUAGCACGUAGCUGUGACGUUACCUUUAGUAAGAAGCACCGGCUAACUCCGUGCCAGCAGCCGCG